RNAcentral lists this ribosomal RNA (492 nucleotides) under uncultured bacterium. Its description in RNAcentral is "partial 16S ribosomal RNA". It matches the Rfam family "Bacterial small subunit ribosomal RNA", at positions 29 to 507 of the family's 1533-position model. The record is from RNAcentral.
AGUGAACGCUGGCGGUAGGCCUAACACAUGCAAGUCGACCGGCAGCACAGUAACAUCUUGCUCUUACGGGUGGCGAGUGGCGGACGAGUGAGGAAUACCUCGGAAUCUACUUUUUCGUGGGGGAUAACGUAGGGAAACUUACGCUAAUACCGCAUACGACCUACGGGUGAAAUCAGGUGAUCUUCUGACCUUGCGCGAUUGAAUGAGCCGAUGUCGGGUUAGCUAGUUGGCGGGGUAAAGGCCCACCAAGGCGGCGAUCCGUAGCUGGUGUGAGAGGAUGGACAGCCACAGUGGAAAUGAGACACGGUCCCGGCUGCUACGGGAGGCAGCAGUGGGGAAUAAUGGCUAAUGGGCGCAAGCCUGAGCCAGCCAUACCGCGUAGGUGAAGGAGGCCUUCGGGUUGGAAAGUCCUUUUGUUGGGGAAAAAAAGCAGGAGGUUAAAACCCCUGCGUUCUGAAGGUACCCAAAGAAUAAGCACCGGCUAACUGCGUG